UGUUAAAAAAUCCAUCCAUUUCUUCUAUUAAAAAUUAGCAUAGUUGAUGGAAUAACCAGACAGUUACACACGGCAUGUCACGUGUACUUCAUACAGACUUAGAGUGAUCAAUUGUUAAUAGUAGAUUUGGGUGAAAUUUAUAACA
This is a non-coding RNA of Gossypium hirsutum (cotton), 145 nucleotides long. NCBI's taxonomy places the organism in Eukaryota, Viridiplantae, Streptophyta, Magnoliopsida, Malvales, Malvaceae. The record is from Rfam.